AGAGUUUGAUCAUGGCUCAGAUUGAACGCUGGCGGCAGGCCUAACACAUGCAAGUCGAGCGGUAGAGAGAAGCUUGCUUCUCAUGAGAGCGGCGGACGGGUGAGUAAUGCCUAGGAAUCUGCCUGGUAGUGGGGGAUAACGUUCGGAAACGGACGCUAAUACCGCAUACGUCCUACGGGAGAAAGCAGGGGACCUUCGGGCCUUGCGCUAUCAGAUGAGCCUAGGUCGGAUUAGCUAGUUGGUGAGGUAAUGGCUCACCAAGGCGACGAUCCGUAACUGGUCUGAGAGGAUGAUCAGUCACACUGGAACUGAGACACGGUCCAGACUCCUACGGGAGGCAGCAGUGGGGAAUAUUGGACAAUGGGCGAAAGCCUGAUCCAGCCAUGCCGCGUGUGUGAAGAAGGUCUUCGGAUUGUAAAGCACUUUAAGUUGGGAGGAAGGGUUGUAGAUUAAUACUCUGCAAUUUUGACGUUACCGACAGAAUAAGCACCGGCUAACUCUGUGCCAGCAGCCGCGGUAAUACAGAGGGUGCAAGCGUUAAUCGGAAUUACUGGGCGUAAAGCACGCGUAGGUGGUUUGUUAAGUUGGAUGUGAAAUCCCCGGGCUCAACCUGGGAACUGCAUUCAAAACUGACUGACUAGAGUAUGGUAGAGGGUGGUGGAAUUUCCUGUGUAGCGGUGAAAUGCGUAGAUAUAGGAAGGAACACCAGUGGCGAAGGCGACCACCUGGACUAAUACUGACACUGAGGUGCGAAAGCGUGGGGAGCAAACAGGAUUAGAUACCCUGGUAGUCC
Molecule: ribosomal RNA, 793 nt
Filed under: uncultured bacterium
Lineage: Bacteria
Description: bacterial SSU rRNA
Rfam family: Bacterial small subunit ribosomal RNA
Source: RNAcentral